UCCUCUCUGCUCUACUGUGGCCUUUCUAGGAAGAUUCAGUCCCACACAGUGAGUGGGAGCCUGUUUGGUGCCCCACCCUGCAGCCCUGCACACCUCCCAGGGCCAGUCCAUCAUGGUCUGUCUGAUGCAGGGAGAGACAUCAAUAAUAAGAGCUGAAGCAGAAACCACAGCGGAGAACACAAAAGAGAGAGGGAGGGCAGACGCAGGCCACAACCGGCUCUGCUGCAGGCUGGAGUGGGCAGGCGUGCGGCUUUGGCCACAGGAAACCGUGAAUUCUUUGGAGAAUGGAAGAUGUCUUUUGGGGAGACAUACUGGGCCCCCACCCCACCCACUCGCCACCCCAAAAUGACACCUGACCCCUUCAUGUGUUUAUAUCAGACCAUGGAAGUGAGAAAUAGUGAUGAGUCACUCUGGCUGCGUGUUUACACUCCAGAGUCACGCAAGGAAGGAAAUCAGCCACGGUCUGCUAAAAGUGGCGAGGUGAGAGAGAAUAGCUGCAGUCCCCCAGAGCUGCAGUGAUUUACCUCUCAGAGCCAGAAUUUAUUUCAUGUCAUCUCUGCUGCGAAGACCUUCGACCAACAGAAAACAGUGAUAUUAGCAGUGCAGUAGACUGUUGUCGAGGAAAGGGUAACUCUGACUGCGGCAAGGGCCAGAACAAGAGGUAAAAACAUAAAAUAAGCAGGAUGAUUCAUCAAGAGAAUAAAUGGAAUUUUAGAACGUCUUAUUACAUACACAGUGUUGAUCACAUCCAGUCACUUUCUGAUCAAGGAAGGUAAACCAUGUCACUGUCAUAGAAUGAAAGUUUCUAUGACAGUUUUUCUAUGAAAGUUUCCACGUUUUUUUCAGCUUGAUGACUGCACAUUUGACAUUUUACAAACAUUUUCUCUCAGCUACAAGGAGAGCUUAUAAUUGCUCAACAUAAUUUAAAAAUGCUCAUCACUAAAACUGGAGUUACGAGGUUUUCACCCAUGCAACAGCAAUGAUGUACUUAUAAUAAGCACUUUAAUGACAUGUUCUGCACUUUUAAUUAUUCUCAUUGAUAUACUGUAUUGAUAUCAAGUUAAAAUAUAAAAGACUUAAAUAAUUUUUAUUUCAUACACAAUUCAGUUUUCUGGUUAUGAUUCCCUGCAAAAGAAAAAUGAUUAAAAAACAAAACAAAACAAACUUUAAUACUUAAAAGCUAGUGCAAUAUUUUAUCUGACAUUUUAUCUGACUUUGUGUCUAUUAUGUGUAUAUUCCUGGUUACAAAGUUCAGAAAAGAAGUUUAUAUAGUUAUGACGGUGGAUGUAAAAUUGUGACAAUUUGUGUCACUUCUAAUGAGCCUCUGAUAUCUGUCUGUGUGUUUGUGAACAGUAUAAAAACACCAAAUAGAUUCAAGUUUGUAUCACAAACUGUGGUUUUAAUGGCUUCAGCUGUCAUAAAGCAGGAAAGUGAAAUCAUAUUCACAUAGUGCUAGAUCUUUACACACACACCCUUUAAACUGUCUUGAUGUUUUAUUUUUUAUUGACGUUGCAACUUGAUCUUGCACAUUAUAUGACAUGUGCAUCAGUUUAUAUUGACAAUAAUUGAGAUGCUGUACAGGUUUCUGUAUAGCCUAAAAAAUACUACAUUAUUUGCUCAUUGUUAUCAGCAUAAUACAUUUUAGAAAUUGUGUUCAUGAGUGACCCUACAGGAUCUGUAUGAACCCCACUGGACACGUAUUGCAUUGUGCUCUGGUGGACUUUAUGUUCAAUGUACUGUGAUGUGUGUUUACCGUGGCUAAGACCAGUGUUUCAAACAUAGUGUCACUGUCGUCCUCCACACCGAGCGACUUUAGAUUUUAGAUUGCACAACUGUUGUUUUCAAGAGACGGCUGUAGUUACUGUUGUGCUCUGUAAAUAAAAGUGACACUUUAUUUCUUUCCAUCAUUACAUUGGUGCAAGUAACUUCAUUGCUGACUGUAGCGAGUAUCCUGUUACACACCCCCAUACACACCGCCACAAUGAGAGAGUCAGCGGCUCUUAUUUUGGCUGAUCUUUCCUGAAUUGUAAGUCCUGUCAGGGGCUUUGAUUGAUAGUUGUGUUUAUCACCAUAUUAUUAAGUAAUCAGGCUCACCACAGCUGGGCCUGAAUCUCCUUAAUUCCAGCUAAAGCACACGGCUUCAUGUUAAUUAAAGGUUUGACCAAAGUGUUUAUUUUUGUGAAUUUUUAAAAUAUAGUUGUCUGUGUUUUUAUGAGAGUGCGCUGAUUGUUGCAUUUGUAUCCUCUCUGGAACAUUUAGUGCCAACCUUUAGUGUUAUAUCUUCAUCACAAAGAUCAUGGUUAUUCACAGGACAGAGGAGAGAAAAUCAUGUUGCAUGAACUGCAUGUGGAGUUUAGAAAAAUCUUGCAUUUCAGUACAUGAUAACAUACCGCUUUACAUUACUCUAAAACCUGCAAAAUGACAAAUAAGCUGCAUACAGUACAGUAUCUCCGUAUAUAACAUGAGAGGGUCAAUCAGUCUAUGUUCUGUACAUCAGAAGAGGUUUCCUCUCGCUUCGUUAAUAGAGCCUGCGGCAGGCUGCGUUUGUGUAUUCCUGAGGUAAACACAGUCAUGGCAAAGUGGACAUGCUGCUGAGUGUGUCCUGACUGGAGACAGAGAGCACUGUGGCACUGUACUGACUUUAGACACUGGCAGCUCUCUAGAGGUAGGGUUAAUGUGAUGAAUGGCCAUUUGGUAAUGGGCCAUGUAUUAGGGCGAAAUAGCUCUUUUAAAAGCCAGAGCCUGAGCCGUUGCUUUGGGCAAUUUGAUUCAAGAAUCAAUCAGGUGGCAGAUGUUUCAUGUUGGAUCAGUCAACUCUGUCUUGCUCUCUCUUUCAACCAAAUGAAGGAAGAAUUGCUUGAAUGACUGCAUGUAGCAAUCAAAUAGAAAUGGGAAUUCUCGCAGUCUGUGAUGCCAUGUUGUUUAAAAAAAAAAAAAA
This is a long non-coding RNA of Larimichthys crocea (large yellow croaker), 2938 nucleotides long. RefSeq lists it as uncharacterized. NCBI's taxonomy places the organism in Eukaryota, Metazoa, Chordata, Actinopteri, Sciaenidae. The record is from RefSeq and is a predicted model, not a curated record. The transcript has 2 exons.